Pelodictyon phaeoclathratiforme is the source of this 76-nucleotide non-coding RNA. NCBI's taxonomy places the organism in Bacteria, Pseudomonadati, Chlorobiota, Chlorobiia, Chlorobiales, Chlorobiaceae. The record is from Rfam.
GGGAGCCGGAUGAGCGGGGACGUUCCUGUCCGGAUCUGCGAGGGGCUGGAGGUGAAAUUCCUCCGGUCUACUCACC